This 443-nucleotide ribosomal RNA is filed under the name uncultured bacterium. RNAcentral's name for it is "bacterial SSU rRNA". It matches the Rfam family "Bacterial small subunit ribosomal RNA", at positions 9 to 454 of the family's 1533-position model. The record is from RNAcentral.
GAGUUUGAUCAUGGCUCAGAUUGAACGCUGGCGGCAUGCUUUACACAUGCAAGUCGAACGGUAACAGGGAGCUUGCUCCGCUGACGAGUGGCGAACGGGUGAGUAAUGCGUCGGAACGUGCCGAGUAGUGGGGGAUAACGCAUCGAAAGGUGUGCUAAUACCGCAUACGAACUGAGGUUGAAAGUGGGGGACCUUCGGGCCUCACGCUAUUCGAGCGGCCGACGUCUGAUUAGCUAGUUGGUAGGGUAAAGGCCUACCAAGGCGAAGAUCCUUAACUGGUCUGAGAGGACGACCAGUCACACUGGGACUGAGACACGGCCCAGACUCCUACGGGAGGCAGCAGUGGGGAAUAUUGGACCAUGGGCGCAAGCCUGAUCCAGCAAUACCGCGUGUGUGAAGACGGCCUUCGGGUUGUAAAGCACUUUCAGGGGGGAAAGAAGGGG